This is a long non-coding RNA of Salvia splendens (bonfire salvia), 347 nucleotides long. RefSeq lists it as uncharacterized. The record is from RefSeq and is a predicted model, not a curated record. NCBI's taxonomy places the organism in Eukaryota, Viridiplantae, Streptophyta, Magnoliopsida, Lamiales, Lamiaceae. The transcript has 3 exons.
CGCCGGUCGUGGCUGACUCCUCAGCGUCCGUUCGCUGCCCCGACCUCCGCCGUCAGGCAUCGGGUUCACUGAGUGAAUGGAGAAGAGUGCAGCGGGGUUCGCUCGGGGCAGCGGGGCAGCAUUGGGCUGCUCAGGAGGAGGAAGCGGUUGCUGCCGCCGAGUGACAGCAGCAGCAACGGUGGUUGUCCGGUAGAGGCAGCAGUGGUGCAUUUCGGGCAGUGGCUGCACCCCGAGGGCAGUGGCAUCGGCUUUAACAAGUCUAUGCUACGCUCUCUCGUCUUAAGGUAGUGGAAGCGAAAGACGUGAUUAUCGAGCAAGAUCCAGAGGGCGUGAAACGGGGCUGUCCG